Molecule: long non-coding RNA, 1153 nt
Filed under: Salmo salar (Atlantic salmon)
Lineage: Eukaryota; Metazoa; Chordata; Actinopteri; Salmoniformes; Salmonidae
Description: lncRNA (ENSSSAG00000109455.1)
Source: RNAcentral
UCAUGUGAGAUGAGACCUUUUUCAAAACGUUUUUCAAGACACAGGAAAGGUCCGGUUGAAAUAUUACUGAUGUUUCACGUUAAAAAUGGCCCUAAAGAUUGAUGCUAAACAACGUUUGACAUGUUUGAACUAACAUAAAUAUAUAUAUUUUUUUACUUUUCGUCGUGACUUUUCCCUCCCGCGCCCUACAUUUUGAGUAGCCUACCGAACGCGCUAACAACACGGAACAACAUGGAGUUAUUUGGACAUAAAUUAUGAACUUCAUCGAAAAAAAACUACAUUUGUUGUGGACCUGGGAUUUCUGGAAGUGCCUUCUGAUGAAGAUUAUUAAAGGUGAGAAAGGAAAUCAAGGAAACAUGGGGAUGCCUGGUGCUCUGUGGCUACUUGGGAAACAGGAAGUGAAAGGUCUACAAUACUCCCUAGAUUUAAUCACAUUACAUUCUCUGGCCACAGCUCAGAUGGACAUUCUUGAUGUCAGCAUGCCAAUUGCACACUUCCUCAAAAGUUGAGACAUCUGUGGCAUUGUGUUAUGUGACAAAACAUCACGUUUUAGGGUGGCCUUUUAUUGUCCCCAGUACAAGGGGCACCUGUGUAAUGAUCAUGCUGUUUAAUCAUCUUCUUGAUAUGCCACACCUGUCAGGUGGAUGGAUUAUCUUGGCAAAGGAGAAAUGCUCACUAACAGAGAUGUAACAAAUUUGGGAGAAAUAAGCUUUUUGUGCGUAUGUAAGAUUUCUGGGAUAUUUUAUUUCAGCUCAUGAAACAUGAGACCAACACUUUACAUGUUGUGUUUAUAUUUUUGUUCAGUAUAAAUGUAGGUGCUAUGUGUCAAUGACUAGAGAACAUGAACUUUGUGAAUAAAGUUACAGUGUGAGAAAAAGGGAACAGAAAGAACUGUAUGUCUAAAGUCUGUUGAGAAACACAGACAUAGUUUUACUAGUAAACAUCAUGAGGACCUGGUACAGAGGAACAGCUACCAGACUGCUGGACCACGAAGACCUCAGCGCAACAAUUAGGCAGUUCUGGAAAACAGAUGGACAGUUUUGAGAAGUCACACCCCUAAUCUAGUCUUGACAUUUAAACGCUUGUUUGGUUUUGUACAAGUCAUGUUUGCAGCUGAAGCAUCCAGUGGGUUGAAUAAACUUGGUUUGAGCUU